Molecule: ribosomal RNA, 484 nt
Filed under: uncultured bacterium
Lineage: Bacteria
Description: partial 16S ribosomal RNA
Rfam family: Bacterial small subunit ribosomal RNA
Source: RNAcentral
CUUUCACUCUGGCGGCAGGCCUAACACAUGCCAGUCGAGCGGAUGAAGGGAGCUUGCUCCUGGAUUCAGCGGCGGACGGGUGAGUAAUGCCUAGGAAUCUGCCUGGUAGUGGGGGAUAACGUCCGGAAACGGGCGCUAAUACCGCAUACGUCCUGAGGGAGAAAGUGGGGGAUCUUCGGACCUCACGCUAUCAGAUGAGCCUAGGUCGGAUUAGCUAGUUGGUGGGGUAAAGGCCUACCAAGGCGACGAUCCGUAACUGGUCUGAGAGGAUGAUCAGUCACACUGGAACUGAGACACGGUCCAGACUCCUACGGGAGGCAGCAGUGGGGAAUAUUGGACAAUGGGCGAAAGCCUGAUCCAGCCAUGCCGCGUGUGUGAAGAAGGUCUUCGGAUUGUAAAGCACUUUAAGUUGGGAGGAAGGGCAGUAAGUUAAUACCUUGCUGUUUUGACGUUACCAACAGAAUAAGCACCGGCUAACUUCGUG